GAUGAACGCUGGCGGCGUGCCUUACACAUGCAAGUCGAACGGCAGCAUGACGUGUAGCAAUACACGUUGAUGGCGAGUGGCGAACGGGUGAGUAAUAUAUCGGAACAUGUCCUGUAGCGGGGGAUAACGCGUCGAAAGAUGUGCUAAUACCGCAUACGCUCUACGGAGGAAAGCGGGGGUCGCAAGACCUCGCGCUAUAGGAGUGGCCGAUANCGGAUUAGCUAGUUGGCGGGGUAAAAGCCCACCAAGGCGACGAUCCGUAGCUGGUCUGAGAGGAUGAUCAGCCACACUGGAACUGAGACACGGUCCAGACUCCUACGGGAGGCAGCAGUGGGAAUUUUGGACAAUGGGCGCAAGCCUGAUCCA
Molecule: ribosomal RNA, 366 nt
Filed under: uncultured bacterium
Lineage: Bacteria
Description: bacterial SSU rRNA
Rfam family: Bacterial small subunit ribosomal RNA
Source: RNAcentral